CAACGUAGCGCACCACGCCACCUAACGGGUGGGCUGUGACCGUCAGCGUCAUGGACAGAAAGUGCCACAGAAAACUAGACUUCCUGCCGGGAGGGCUCGCCCUUCUCCGCUACGGCCUUCGGCACGUAGCUUCGGUGGGUAAAGGUGAAAACGUGCGGGGCUAUGCCCUUAAUGUAAGAGCGCACGCCAGGCCGUAGCAAUACGGCCCGGGGGUAAACCUCGUGGGUUGAAAUGUCACAUACACCACGAUUCCGAUCCCUUAAGCUGAGCCAUGCUCACUUCAGGGUGGGAGGCGGGUUGCUCGCCUGCUUGGAAACAGUCGUGGGGGGUAGGCAGAUAGACCCUGACGGUGACGUCAGGGCUAGAUAAAUGAUAGAGGCCCGGGGCUGGGCGUAAGCCCAUCGUCAGGGUACAAAAUCCGGCUUACAGGCCCGCAGCAAUU
RNAcentral lists this RNase P RNA (442 nucleotides) under Phaeodactylibacter sp. RNAcentral describes it as "partial RNase P RNA component class A". It matches the Rfam family "Bacterial RNase P class A", at positions 57 to 367 of the family's 367-position model. From Rfam's summary of the family: Ribonuclease P (RNase P) is a ubiquitous endoribonuclease, found in archaea, bacteria and eukarya as well as chloroplasts and mitochondria. Its best characterised activity is the generation of mature 5'-ends of tRNAs by cleaving the 5'-leader elements of precursor-tRNAs. The record is from RNAcentral. Lineage: Bacteria; Pseudomonadati; Bacteroidota; Saprospiria; Saprospirales; Haliscomenobacteraceae.